UACGGAGGGGACUAGCGUUGUUCGGAAUUACUGGGCGUAAAGCGCACGUAGGCGGAUUUGUAAGUCAGGGGUGAAAUCCCGGGGCUCAACCUCGGAACUGCCUUUGAUACUGCAAAUCUCGAGUCCGGAAGAGGUGAGUGGAAUUCCUAGUGUAGAGGUGAAAUUCGUAGAUAUUAGGAAGAACACCAGUGGCGAAGGCGGCCAUCUGGACCAGCACUGACGCUGAGGCACGAAAGCGUGGGGAGCAAACAGG
RNAcentral lists this ribosomal RNA (253 nucleotides) under uncultured bacterium. RNAcentral's name for it is "partial 16S ribosomal RNA". It matches the Rfam family "Bacterial small subunit ribosomal RNA", at positions 524 to 776 of the family's 1533-position model. The record is from RNAcentral.